Molecule: long non-coding RNA, 900 nt
Filed under: Marmota monax (woodchuck)
Lineage: Eukaryota; Metazoa; Chordata; Mammalia; Rodentia; Sciuridae
Source: RNAcentral
GAGGAGGUAGGGAGUAAAAAGUAAGGAAGAAUGGAAACUUUGAAAGAGAUAAAGGAAUAGGAGGGGUUGCAAGGUGACGGGAGUAACCCGAAAUAGAAGAAAACAUAAUCAUGCUAUUAUGCCUGCUGCUGCAGAACGUCACGAUUUUAAGAUAGGAAAGAAAACCUUAGGAAGCAAAGGAGUUUUUAAUUCCAUGUAGCAACAAAUUGUUUCUCUUUUGUGUCAAGGACACCAAAGACCCAAUGCUGAAUAGAGCCUGAAUUUUUUUGUUCUUUUCUCGGUGAUAAAGGCAUAAAUCCUUUUACCUUCCUACCAGAACAUUUUUUAACAUGGCCGACCAGAGUCAAAGGUGCAAUCUAAGGCCAAGAAACAGCCCCCACCCAGCCCAAAUCCAAGGAACACUCCCUACUCCCAACCCAUUAGUCAUUAACUCAGCAAUUUGUAGACCUAAGCUAAGACCCGCUUCUUUUACCAAAUCUCAGUUUAUACGCUAUAUGGAAGAAGACAUUUUUAGGAGAACAAUAUUGGCAAAAGUCAAUGUUUUAGUCCAGAGUGGUGGUGCACCCCUGUAAUCUCAGCAACUGAGAGGCUGGGGCAGGAGGAUUGUAAAUUCCAGCCUCAGCAAAAUUCUCCAAGCUCUCAACCGUAAGCACCUAGCAAGACCAUCUCAAAACAAAACAAAACAAAACACCACAGCUCAAGGUGUUCCAUGAGCCAAAGUUGUACAUUUGAUGAUCUUUGCUGGUACCAGGGAUUGAACCCAGUAGCGCUUAACCCUUGAACCACUGCCUCAGCCCUUAUUGAGACAGGAUCUAGCUAAAUUGCUUAGGGCCUUGCUAAAUUGCUGAAGCUGAUUUUUAACUUGCCAUCCUCCUACCUGGGCCGGGGAUUACAAUCCGC